Molecule: unclassified non-coding RNA, 346 nt
Filed under: uncultured fungus
Lineage: Eukaryota; Fungi
Description: partial contains small subunit ribosomal RNA, internal transcribed spacer 1, and 5.8S ribosomal RNA
Rfam family: Eukaryotic small subunit ribosomal RNA (bases 1-73)
Source: RNAcentral
UCAAACUUGGUCAUUUAGAGGAAGUAAAAGUCGUAACAAGGUUUCCGUAGGUGAACCUGCGGAAGGAUCAUUAAUGAAUCGAACCAAAGCACCCCUUGGCUGAUGCUGGCCCCUUGGGGCAUGUGCACGCAUUUGAGGGCUGCAUCUUCAAUUCACUUUCACCUCCCUUGUGCACUCAAUGUAGGUCGUUUGGUUGGCAGUUUUGCACCAAAUACCUAUGAAUUUUUUUCCGUCUUUGUACGCACCUUAUAAUAGCAUGUUUAUAAGCAUAUAUGGCUUUUUUAAAAUAUAAAAUACAACUUUCAACAACGGAUCUCUUGGCUCUCGCAUCGAUGAAGAACGCAGC